ACAUCCAGCGAACUUGGCAGAGAUGCCUUGGUGCCUUCGGGAACGCUGAGACAGGUGCUGCAUGGCUGUCGUCAGCUCGUGUUGUGAAAUGUCGGGUUAAGUCCCGCAACGAGCGCAACCCUUAUCCUUUGUUGCCAGCGAUUCGGUCGGGAACUCAAAGGAGACUGCCGGUGAUAAACCGGAGGAAGGUGGGGAUGACGUCAAGUCAUCAUGGCCCUUACGAGUAGGGCUACACACGUGCUACAAUGGCGCAUACAAAGAGAAGCGACCUCGCGAGAGCAAGCGGACCUCAUAAAGUGCGUCGUAGUCCGGAUCGGAGUCUGCAACUCGACUCCGUGAAGUCGGAAUCGCUAGUAAUCGUGAAUCAGAAUGCCACGGUGAAUACGUUCCCGGGCCUUGUACACACCGCCCGUCACACCAUGGGAGUGGGUUGCAAAAGAAGUAGGUAGCUUAACCCUCGGGAGGGCGCUUACCACUUUGUGAUUCAUGACUGGGGUGAAGUCGUAACAAGGUAAGCGUAGCGAG
Molecule: ribosomal RNA, 525 nt
Filed under: uncultured bacterium
Lineage: Bacteria
Description: bacterial SSU rRNA
Rfam family: Bacterial small subunit ribosomal RNA
Source: RNAcentral